CCUACGGGGGGCAGCAGUGAGGAAUAUUGGUCAAUGGACGAGAGUCUGAACCAGCCAAGUAGCGUGAAGGAUGACUGCUCUAUGGGUUGUAAACUUCUGUUAUAAAGGAAUAAAACGAGGCACGUGUGCCUUUUUGCAUGUACUUUAUGAAUAAGGAUCGGCUAACUCCGUGCCAGCAGCCGCGGUAAUACGGAGGAUCCGUGCGUUAUCCGGAUUUAUUGGGUUUAAAGGGAGCGUAGAUGGUUUGUUAAGUCAGUUGUGAAAGUUUGCGGCUCAACCGUAAAAUUGCAAUUGAUACUGGCAGUCUAGAGUACAGGUGAGGUAGGCGGAAUUCGUGGUGUAGCGGUGAAAUGCUUAGAUAUCACGAAGAACCCCGAUUGCGAAGGCAGCUUACUAAACUGUGACUGACAUUGAUGCACGAAAGUGUGGGUAUCAAACAGGAUUAGAUACCCCAGUAGUC
Molecule: ribosomal RNA, 460 nt
Filed under: uncultured bacterium
Lineage: Bacteria
Description: partial 16S ribosomal RNA
Rfam family: Bacterial small subunit ribosomal RNA
Source: RNAcentral